RNAcentral lists this ribosomal RNA (506 nucleotides) under uncultured bacterium. Its description in RNAcentral is "partial 16S ribosomal RNA". It matches the Rfam family "Bacterial small subunit ribosomal RNA", at positions 29 to 523 of the family's 1533-position model. The record is from RNAcentral.
AGUGAACGCUGGCGGUAGGCCUAACACAUGCGAGUCGAACGGCAGCACAGGAGAGCUUGCUCUCUGGGUGGCGAGUGGCGGACGGGUGAGGAAUACAUCGGAAUCUACUCUGUCGUGGGGGAUAACGUAGGGAAACUUACGCUAAUACCGCAUACGACCUACGGGUGAAAGCAGGGGACCUUCGGGCCUUGCGCGAUUGAAUGAGCCGAUGUCGGAUUAGCUAGUUGGCGGGGUAAAGGCCCACCAAGGCGACGAUACGUAGCUGGUCUGAGAGGAUGAUCAGCCACACUGGAACUGAGACACGGUCCAGACUCCUACGGGAGGCAGCAGUGGGGAAUAUUGGACAAUGGGCGCAAGCCUGAUCCAGCCAUACCGCGUGGGUGAAGAAGGCCUUCGGGUUGUAAAGCCCUUUUGUUGGGAAAGAAAUCCGGCUGGCUAAUACCCGGUUGGGAUGACGGUACCCAAAGAAUAAGCACCGGCUAACUUCGUGCCAGCCGCCGCAGUAA